RNAcentral lists this ribosomal RNA (253 nucleotides) under uncultured bacterium. RNAcentral's name for it is "partial 16S ribosomal RNA". It matches the Rfam family "Bacterial small subunit ribosomal RNA", at positions 524 to 776 of the family's 1533-position model. The record is from RNAcentral.
UACGGAGGGGGCUAGCGUUGUUCGGAAUUACUGGGCGUAAAGCGCACGUAGGCGGACUGUUAAGUCGGGGGUGAAAUCCUGGGGCUCAACCUCAGAAUUGCCUCCGAUACUGGUCGGCUAGAGUGUGGAAGAGGAUGCUGGAAUUCCCGGUGUAGCGGUGAAAUGCGCAGAUAUCAGGAAGAACACCCGUGGCGAAGGCGGCUCUCUGGUACGGAACUGACGCUGAGACGCGAAAGCGUGGGGAGCGAACAGG